GACGAACCGAGCGAACGUUGUUCGGAAUCACUGGGCUUAAAGGGCGCGUAGGCGGGAUGGCAAGUCGGUCGUGAAAUCCCUCGGCUCAACCGAGGAACGUCGAUCGAUACUGCUGUUCUUGAGGAUUGCAGAGGAGACUGGAAUUCCCGGUGUAGCGGUGAAAUGUGUAGAGAUCGGGAGGAACACCGGUGGCGAAGGCGGGUCUCUGGGCAAUCCCUGACGCUGAGGCGCGAAAGCGUGGGGAGCAAACGGG
This 253-nucleotide ribosomal RNA is filed under the name uncultured bacterium. Its description in RNAcentral is "partial 16S ribosomal RNA". It matches the Rfam family "Bacterial small subunit ribosomal RNA", at positions 524 to 776 of the family's 1533-position model. The record is from RNAcentral.